CAGGUGACACCCGCUGGAUGUCUGCCUCUGACUGUCUCUUAAGCAGGCCCCUUGGAACCAAUGUUCUCUAUCCCAUCUGCGAUGGAGAAUCUCUAAUCCGUUAGAUGUGUGCCUUAAAUGCCAGAUUGGCUGACACAUUCCUGUACAAAUGUAAGGGCAAAUUUAUAAUUUUGAAUAUAAAUAAAUAAAAGGGUUAUUCUACUAUCACAUUGUGUACAUUAUGUCUGUGAUAC
This 233-nucleotide long non-coding RNA is filed under the name Elaeis guineensis (African oil palm). RNAcentral describes it as "long non-coding RNA (EGUI_LNC056245)". The record is from RNAcentral. Lineage: Eukaryota; Viridiplantae; Streptophyta; Magnoliopsida; Arecales; Arecaceae.